CACGUAGGGCGCAAGCGUUGUCCGGAAUUAUUGGGCGUAAAGAGCUCGUAGCGGUCUGUUGCGUCCGCUGUGAAAACUCGGGGCUUAACCCCGAGCCUGCAGUGGAUACGGGCAGACUAGAGGUAGGUAGGGGAGAAUGGAAUUCCCGGUGUAGCGGUGAAAUGCGCAGAUAUCGGAGGAACACCGGUGGCGAAGGCGGCAUCCUGGACCGACAUUGACGCUGACUGAGCGAAAGCCGUGGGGAGCGAACGAGG
RNAcentral lists this ribosomal RNA (254 nucleotides) under uncultured bacterium. Its description in RNAcentral is "partial 16S ribosomal RNA". It matches the Rfam family "Bacterial small subunit ribosomal RNA", at positions 524 to 777 of the family's 1533-position model. The record is from RNAcentral.